GGCAAGUCAUCACUAUGAUUGGGAAAGAAGCCAAAAUUAUAAUAAAAUGAAAACCUGUGCAUCAAAUCUGAAGGAUGAGUAUAAAAUAGGAUAAACAGUCUUAAAUGAAGAAAUUCAAAAAUAGGAAGCUGAAUUACUUCUCUGAGGAUGUCUUGUCACUAAAACAUGGAGAAUCCAACCUACCCUGCGUAGUUGUGGAAUCCCUCAGAUGACAGCAGUGAAGAAUAAGGAUGAAGAUAGCACAUUCUCAUUGUCAUUAAGAUUAAAAUAAUCAAGAUGUAUGAACUGAGCACAGUAAGAUCAGAGACAUAAUAUGGACUCAGCAAUGCUGGCUGAUUUUGCGGGAUUAUUAAUGAAGAUGUUAAAUAAGAAGAAAGCAACAUCCUUCCCCAUGUACUGCAGUUGAAUUACUAAUCACUUCACGAAUGCUGAAGAAAGCAUUUUAAAAAAGUUUUUUCUGCAAUAUAUACAACCUACACUGAAAAAUCUUAAGCUAUAUGUACUUCAUUCAAUUCAUUCAUGCAUACGAAUAUUCAAAACCUUCAUUUAAGCUCAAAGGCCAUGGAGAUAAAAAAGA
Homo sapiens (human) is the source of this 577-nucleotide long non-coding RNA. RefSeq lists it as uncharacterized. NCBI's taxonomy places the organism in Eukaryota, Metazoa, Chordata, Mammalia, Primates, Hominidae. The transcript has 4 exons. The record is from RefSeq and is a predicted model, not a curated record.